AAACCAACAGGGAUUGCCCUAGUAACGGCGAGUGAAGCGGCAACAGCUCAAAUUUGAAAUCUGGCUUCGGCCCGAGUUGUAAUUUGUAGAGGAUGCUUUGGGCGCGGCGCCAACUGAGUUCCCUGGAACGGGACGCCACAGAGGGUGAGAGCCCCGUAUAGUUGGAUGCCUAGCCUAUGUAAAGCUCCUUCGACGAGUCGAGUAGUUUGGGAAUGCUGCUCAAAAUGGGAGGUAAAUUUCUUCUAAAGCUAAAUACCGGCCAGAGACCGAUAGCGCACAAGUAGAGUGAUCGAAAGAUGAAAAGCACUUUGAAAAGAGGGUUAAAUAGCACGUGAAAUUGUUGAAAGGGAAGCGCUUGUGACCAGACUUGCGCCGGGCAGAUCAUCCGGUGUUCUCACCGGUGCACUCUGCCCGGCUCAGGCCAGCAUCGGUUCUCGUGGGGGGAUAAAGGUCUCGGGAACGUAGCUCUUCCGGGAGUGUUAUAGCCCGGGGCGUAAUGCCCUCGCGGGGACCGAGGUUCGCGCAUCUGCAAGGAUGCUGGCGUAAUGGUCAUCAGCGACCCGUCUUGAAACACGGACCAAGGAGUCAAGGUUUUGCGCGAGUGUUUGGGUGUAAAACCCGCACGCGUAAUGAAAGUGAACGUAGGUGAGAGCUUCGGCGCAUCAUCGACCGAUCCUGAUGUAUUCGGAUGGAUUUGAGUAAGAGCGUUAAGCCUUGGACCCGAAAGAUGGUGAACUAUGCUUGGAUAGGGUGAAGCCAGAGGAAACUCUGGUGGAGGCUCGCAGCGGUUCUGACGUGCAAAUCGAUCGUCAAAUCUGAGCAUGGGGCGAAAGAC
This 835-nucleotide ribosomal RNA is filed under the name Trichocladium heterothallicum. Its description in RNAcentral is "eukaryotic LSU rRNA". It matches the Rfam family "Eukaryotic large subunit ribosomal RNA", at positions 62 to 931 of the family's 3401-position model. The record is from RNAcentral. Lineage: Eukaryota; Fungi; Ascomycota; Sordariomycetes; Sordariales; Chaetomiaceae.